Molecule: unclassified non-coding RNA, 165 nt
Filed under: uncultured Chaetothyriales
Lineage: Eukaryota; Fungi; Ascomycota; Eurotiomycetes; Chaetothyriales
Description: sequence contains ITS2
Source: RNAcentral
UCCUCCCUCAAACCCCUGGGUUUGGUGUUGGACUCUGUGGUGCGCUGGCACCACUGGUCUCAAAGACAAUGACGGCGUCCGUGGGACCCUCGGUGCAACGAGCUUUUCGAAGCACGCGUCGAGUGGACAGUCUCUCCGGGCCGGUCACCUCUCCAAUUUUUCUCA